GACGAACGCUGGCGGCGUGCUUAACACAUGCAAGUCGAACGGAAAGGCCCCCUUGUGGGGUACUCGAGUGGCGAACGGGUGAGUAACACGUGAGUAACCUACCCUUGACUUUGGGAUAACUUCAGGAAACUGGGGCUAAUGCCGGAUAGGAGCUCCUGCUGCAUGGUGGGGGUUGGAAAGUUUCGGCGGUUGGGGAUGGACUCGCGGCUUAUCAGCUUGUUGGUGGGGUAGUGGCUCACCAAGGCUUUGACGGGUAGCCGGCCUGAGAGGGUGACCGGCCACAUUGGGACUGAGAUACGGCCCAGACUCCUACGGGAGGCAGCAGUGGGGAAUAUUGCACAAUGGGCGGAAGCCUGAUGCAGCAACGCCGCGUGCGGGAUGACGGCCUUCGGGUUGUAAACCGCUUUCGCCUGUGACGAAGCGUGAGUGACGGUAAUGGGUAAAGAGGCACCGGCUAACUACG
Molecule: ribosomal RNA, 463 nt
Filed under: uncultured bacterium
Lineage: Bacteria
Description: partial 16S ribosomal RNA
Rfam family: Bacterial small subunit ribosomal RNA
Source: RNAcentral